RNAcentral lists this non-coding RNA (45 nucleotides) under Schistosoma margrebowiei. Lineage: Eukaryota; Metazoa; Platyhelminthes; Trematoda; Strigeidida; Schistosomatidae. The record is from RNAcentral.
AUUCAUCUGAUGAGUCGCAAAUAAGAUGGAACACGAGUCCUGUAU